Molecule: ribosomal RNA, 1392 nt
Filed under: metagenome
Description: bacterial LSU rRNA
Rfam family: Bacterial large subunit ribosomal RNA
Source: RNAcentral
GGCCGGUUCUUGGUUUGGGGUGGUGGACAGGCAAACCCGUCCACGUGAUCUCCGGGCUGAGAGGAGCCUUCGAGGCGAACCGAAUGGAAGUCCGUCCAAGAAAAACUUCGCGGGAGCAGAACAGUGACCGUACCAAAUCUGACACAGGAGGGCGAGGCGAAUAGCCUCAGGCGCUCGAGAGAACCCUACGUGAAGGAACUCGGCAAAUUAACCCCGUAAGUUCGCGAUAAGGGGUGCCCUCGCAAGAGGGUCACAGGAAAACGACAGCUGCGACUGUUUACUAAAAACACAGGUCUCUGCGAAGUCGUCAAAGGCGACGUAUAGAGACUGACGCUUGCCCGCUGUUGGAACGUUAAGGUGACUGGUUAGCCGCAAGGCGAGGCCGGGAGCCGAAGCGCCAAUGAAGGGCGGCCGUAACAAUGACGGUCCUAAGGUAGCGAAAUUCCUUGUCGGGUAAGUUCCGACCCGCACGAAUAGCGUAACGACAGCUGUACUGUCUCCACGAGGGACUCGGCGAAAUUGUAGCUGUGGUGAAGAUGCCACAUACCCGCACCAAGACGGAAAGACCCCGUGAACCUUUACUGUAACCUAAUACUGGCUCUAGGUUCGCCAUGUGUAGCAUAGGUGGGAGACGUUGAUGUCGGGGGCGCCAGCCUCCGAAUAGUCAUCAGUGAAAUACCACUCUUGGCGUACUUGGAGUCUAACCUGCGACCGUUAUCCGGCGUGGGGACAGUGUUAGGCGGGCAGUUUGACUGGGGCGGUCUCCUCCCAAAAGGUAACGGAGGAGUUCAAAGGUACCCUCAAUGCGGUUGGCAAUCGCAUGCAGAGCGUAAAGGUAUAAGGGUGCUUGACUGCGAGACAUAUAGGUCGAGCAGGUACGAAAGUAGGACUUAGUGAUCCGGUGGUCCCGUGUGGAAGGGCCAUCGCUCAUCAGAUAAAAGGUACUCCGGGGAUAACAGGCUGAUCACGCCCAAGAGUCCAUAUCGACGGCGUGGUUUGGCACCUCGAUGUCGGCUCAUCGCAUCCUGGGGCUGAAGGCGGUCCCAAGGGUUGGUCUGUUCGCCCAUUAAAGCGGUACGUGAGCUGGGUUUAGACCGUCGUGAGACAGGUCGGUCCCUAUCUGGUGUGGGCGCAGGAUGACUGAGGAGACUCUUUCCUAGUACGAGAGGAUUGGAAAGAACGAACCUCUGGUGUGCCAGUUGUCGCGCUAGCGGCAUCGCUGGAUAGCUAUGUUCGGACUGGAUAAGCGCUGAAAGCAUCUAAGCGCGAAGCCAACUCCAAGACUGGUCAUCCCCAUAGACGCCUGGUAGACCACCAGGUUGAUAGGCCGGAAGUGUAAGGACAGUAAUGUCUUCAGCUAACCGGUACUAACCAGUCGAUCGGCUUGAUCUG